RNAcentral lists this unclassified non-coding RNA (342 nucleotides) under soil metagenome. RNAcentral's name for it is "partial contains 5.8S ribosomal RNA, internal transcribed spacer 2, and large subunit ribosomal RNA". The stretch from base 1 to 120 matches the Rfam family "5.8S ribosomal RNA", at positions 35 to 154 of the family's 154-position model. The record is from RNAcentral.
GAUGAAGAACGUAGCGAAAUGCGAUAAGUAAUGUGAAUUGCAGAAUUCAGUGAAUCAUCGAAUCUUUGAACGCACAUUGCGCCCGCUAGUAUUCUGGCGGGCAUGCCUGUCCGAGCGUCAUUUCAACCCUCAAGCCCCCGGGCUUGGUGUUGGGGAUCGGCGAGCCUCCGCGCCCGCCGUCCCCUAAAUCUAGUGGCGGUCUCGCUGUAGCUUCCUCUGCGUAGUAGCACACCUCGCACUGGGAAACAGCGCGGCCACGCCGUUAAACCCCCAACUUCUGAAUGUUGACCUCGGAUCAGGUAGGAAUACCCGCUGAACUUAAGCAUAUCAAUAAGCGGAGGA